AUAAUAUAUAUCUAAUCAUAUUUUACAACUGUAGCACUGAGUUCAAAAUGUAAACAAAGCGUUUGUUUACAUUACAGACUUUACAUCCACCUUUAAUUCUGCCUUCGUUCAGAACGGAGUUCACGACGAAUUUUGCCAAGAUAUUCGUUCUGAACGAAGGCACAAGAACGAAGAAGGAAAAAAACAAGAUAAGCGCAAGAUAAGGCGCAAACGGGCAAAAAUUGUAAUGCCUUGGAAUUUUUCACACCAGAGGAGGAAUGAGGGUCUUCCCGAAAUGCAACGCGCGCAAAUCAGUGCGGCUCAUUAUUAUUCAAGCUAUUUAUUC
Paramuricea clavata is the source of this 325-nucleotide non-coding RNA. The record is from the annotation of a GenBank genome assembly. Lineage: Eukaryota; Metazoa; Cnidaria; Anthozoa; Malacalcyonacea; Plexauridae.